UACGUAGGUGGCAAGCGUUGUCCGGAUUUAUUGGGCGUAAAGGGUCCGCAGGUGGCCGUUCACGUCGAUGGUUAAAUGUUCGGGCUCAACCCGGACACCGCCAUCGAUACGGUUCGGCUCGAGCAUGGGAGAGGUACGCGGAAUUACCGGUGUAGUAGUAAAAUGCGUUAAUAUCGGUAAGAACACCAAAUGCGAAGGCAGCGUACUGGAACAUUGCUGACACUCAGGGACGAAAGCGUGGGGAGCGAAAGGGAUUAGAUA
RNAcentral lists this ribosomal RNA (261 nucleotides) under uncultured bacterium. RNAcentral's name for it is "partial 16S ribosomal RNA". It matches the Rfam family "Bacterial small subunit ribosomal RNA", at positions 524 to 784 of the family's 1533-position model. The record is from RNAcentral.